This 592-nucleotide transfer RNA is filed under the name Candidatus Liberibacter asiaticus. RNAcentral's name for it is "partial 16S-23S ribosomal RNA intergenic spacer". The stretch from base 301 to 373 matches the Rfam family "tRNA". The record is from RNAcentral. Lineage: Bacteria; Pseudomonadati; Pseudomonadota; Alphaproteobacteria; Hyphomicrobiales; Rhizobiaceae.
CUGCGGCUGGAUCACCUCCUUUCUAAGGAAGAUGUUGAGUAUCAUUGAAUUUAUUGAGUGAUCUGAACGUUUUUUGAAGAUUAAAGCUUUUAAUUAAGCUUGAUAUAAAUUUGCUGUUGUGAAGCAGCGUUUUUAAAAGGAUCGCCGUCCAUGUUUCUCUUUCUUUUCGGAUUUUUUGCGAUGAUGGGGGGUCGUUAAUAUUUGGUUUUGAGGGCCCGUAGCUCAGGUGGUUAGAGUGCACCCCUGAUAAGGGUGAGGUCGGUAGUUCAAAUCUACCUGGGCCCACCACUUUUUGUUCAGGGGGCCGUAGCUCAGUCGGUAGAGCGCCUGCUUUGCAAGCAGGAUGCCAGCGGUUCGAUUCCGCUCGGCUCCACCAUUGGCGUAAUUAUGGAAUUUUGUUCUGAUUUUUUGGAGCAAGAGUUUUUUGAAAAUUGAAUAGAAGAUAUAUUUUUUUGUAUUUUUUAUGUUGGCAUUGUAUGCGACAUAUAAGAUACCGGCGUUGUUAACCGCACGUUGAGAAUUUAUCUCAGGAAAUUGGUCUAUUGAAGAAGCAUAAGGAUAUUAUGUUUUUUUAAUUAUAAAGAGUUGCAAA